UUAAGUGACUAAGCGUACACGGUGGAUGCCCUGGCAGUCAGAGGCGAUGAAGGACGUGCUAAUCUGCGAUAAGCGUCGGUAAGGUGAUAUGAACCGUUAUAACCGGCGAUUUCCGAAUGGGGAAACCCAGUGUGUUUCGACACACUAUCAUUAACUGAAUCCAUAGGUUAAUGAGGCGAACCGGGGGAACUGAAACAUCUAAGUACCCCGAGGAAAAGAAAUCAACCGAGAUUCCCCCAGUAGCGGCGAGCGAACGGGGAGCAGCCCAGAGCCUGAAUCAGUGUGUGUGUUAGUGGAAGCGUCUGGAAAGGCGCGCGAUACAGGGUGACAGCCCCGUACACAAAAAUGCACAUACUGUGAGCUCGAUGAGUAGGGCGGGACACGUGGUAUCCUGUCUGAAUAUGGGGGGACCAUCCUCCAAGGCUAAAUACUCCUGACUGACCGAUAGUGAACCAGUACCGUGAGGGAAAGGCGAAAAGAACCCCGGCGAGGGGAGUGAAAAAGAACCUGAAACCGUGUACGUACAAGCAGUGGGAGCACGCUUAGGCGUGUGACUGCGUACCUUUUGUAUAAUGGGUCAGCGACUUAUAUUCUGUAGCAAGGUUAACCGAAUAGGGGAGCCGAAGGGAAACCGAGUCUUAACUGGGCGUUAAGUUGCAGGGUAUAGACCCGAAACCCGGUGAUCUAGCCAUGGGCAGGUUGAAGGUUGGGUAACACUAACUGGAGGACCGAACCGACUAAUGUUGAAAAAUUAGCGGAUGACUUGUGGCUGGGGGUGAAAGGCCAAUCAAACCGGGAGAUAGCUGGUUCUCCCCGAAAGCUAUUUAGGUAGCGCCUCGUGAAUUCAUCUCCGGGGGUAGAGCACUGUUUCGGCAAGGGGGUCAUCCCGACUUACCAACCCGAUGCAAACUGCGAAUACCGGAGAAUGUUAUCACGGGAGACACACGGCGGGUGCUAACGUCCGUCGUGAAGAGGGAAACAACCCAGACCGCCAGCUAAGGUCCCAAAGUCAUGGUUAAGUGGGAAACGAUGUGGGAAGGCCCAGACAGCCAGGAUGUUGGCUUAGAAGCAGCCAUCAUUUAAAGAAAGCGUAAUAGCUCACUGGUCGAGUCGGCCUGCGCGGAAGAUGUAACGGGGCUAAACCAUGCACCGAAGCUGCGGCAGCGACGCUGAUGCGUUGUUGGGUAGGGGAGCGUUCUGUAAGCCUGCGAAGGUGUGCUGUGAGGCAUGCUGGAGGUAUCAGAAGUGCGAAUGCUGACAUAAGUAACGAUAAAGCGGGUGAAAAGCCCGCUCGCCGGAAGACCAAGGGUUCCUGUCCAACGUUAAUCGGGGCAGGGUGAGUCGACCCCUAAGGCGAGGCCGAAAGGCGUAGUCGAUGGGAAACAGGUUAAUAUUCCUGUACUUGGUGUUACUGCGAAGGGGGGACGGAGAAGGCUAUGUUGGCCGGGCGACGGUUGUCCCGGUUUAAGCGUGUAGGCUGGUUUUCCAGGCAAAUCCGGAAAAUCAAGGCUGAGGCGUGAUGACGAGGCACUACGGUGCUGAAGCAACAAAUGCCCUGCUUCCAGGAAAAGCCUCUAAGCAUCAGGUAACAUCAAAUCGUACCCCAAACCGACACAGGUGGUCAGGUAGAGAAUACCAAGGCGCUUGAGAGAACUCGGGUGAAGGAACUAGGCAAAAUGGUGCCGUAACUUCGGGAGAAGGCACGCUGAUAUGUAGGUGAAGCGACUUGCUCGUGGAGCUGAAAUCAGUCGAAGAUACCAGCUGGCUGCAACUGUUUAUUAAAAACACAGCACUGUGCAAACACGAAAGUGGACGUAUACGGUGUGACGCCUGCCCGGUGCCGGAAGGUUAAUUGAUGGGGUCAGCGCAAGCGAAGCUCUUGAUCGAAGCCCCGGUAAACGGCGGCCGUAACUAUAACGGUCCUAAGGUAGCGAAAUUCCUUGUCGGGUAAGUUCCGACCUGCACGAAUGGCGUAAUGAUGGCCAGGCUGUCUCCACCCGAGACUCAGUGAAAUUGAACUCGCUGUGAAGAUGCAGUGUACCCGCGGCAAGACGGAAAGACCCCGUGAACCUUUACUAUAGCUUGACACUGAACAUUGAGCCUUGAUGUGUAGGAUAGGUGGGAGGCUUUGAAGUGUGGACGCCAGUCUGCAUGGAGCCGACCUUGAAAUACCACCCUUUAAUGUUUGAUGUUCUAACGUUGACCCGUGAUCCGGGUUGCGGACAGUGUCUGGUGGGUAGUUUGACUGGGGCGGUCUCCUCCUAAAGAGUAACGGAGGAGCACGAAGGUUGGCUAAUCCUGGUCGGACAUCAGGAGGUUAGUGCAAUGGCAUAAGCCAGCUUGACUGCGAGCGUGACGGCGCGAGCAGGUGCGAAAGCAGGUCAUAGUGAUCCGGUGGUUCUGAAUGGAAGGGCCAUCGCUCAACGGAUAAAAGGUACUCCGGGGAUAACAGGCUGAUACCGCCCAAGAGUUCAUAUCGACGGCGGUGUUUGGCACCUCGAUGUCGGCUCAUCACAUCCUGGGGCUGAAGUAGGUCCCAAGGGUAUGGCUGUUCGCCAUUUAAAGUGGUACGCGAGCUGGGUUUAGAACGUCGUGAGACAGUUCGGUCCCUAUCUGCCGUGGGCGCUGGAGAACUGAGGGGGGCUGCUCCUAGUACGAGAGGACCGGAGUGGACGCAUCACUGGUGUUCGGGUUGUCAUGCCAAUGGCACUGCCCGGUAGCUAAAUGCGGAAGAGAUAAGUGCUGAAAGCAUCUAAGCACGAAACUUGCCCCGAGAUGAGUUCUCCCUGACUCCUUGAGAGUCCUGAAGGAACGUUGAAGACGACGACGUUGAUAGGCCGGGUGUGUAAGCGCAGCGAUGCGUUGAGCUAACCGGUACUAAUGAACCGUGAGGCUUAACCU
RNAcentral lists this ribosomal RNA (2901 nucleotides) under Escherichia coli. RNAcentral describes it as "23S ribosomal RNA". It matches the Rfam family "Bacterial large subunit ribosomal RNA". Lineage: Bacteria; Pseudomonadati; Pseudomonadota; Gammaproteobacteria; Enterobacterales; Enterobacteriaceae. The record is from RNAcentral.